Long non-coding RNA from Octopus bimaculoides (California two-spot octopus), 1280 nucleotides. The record is from RefSeq and is a predicted model, not a curated record. Lineage: Eukaryota; Metazoa; Mollusca; Cephalopoda; Octopoda; Octopodidae.
AAUAGAAAUGAGUUUAUAUCUAUGAUAACACAAUCAGAUAUCAGAUUGUGAAUCUAGAUUUUAGCGGUUGUUGACCAUAUUUGAUAACUAUGAGACAGUAUUUCGAAAGGAAAGCGAAAUAAUCCUGGAGUGGCUUAUACAAUAUCCGUUUCAGUAUUGGUCAGACUAGCAUGUAUUUGUAAUGAAACAGUCGAAAAGACAAUAUUGAUGCAAUAUCUAAGCUCCACAGUAAAUAAUCGUCUGCUAAGGAAAGCCAUUUAUCCAAAAUAUUGCGUUUCGAGACGAAAAUCAAUGCAAUUCGUAAUCUGUAAAUUAUUCAUUAAAUUGAUGGAAAAAAAACCCCUCUGUCUGUACAGGAAAAAAUUUGAAAUCGCCAAACAUGACAAGGAAAUAAUUAUUUUAAUAUUUCGCUUAAUUAUGCGGAUUUUCAAAACUUACUGUUACGUUGAUCAUAUGGUGCAGAAGAACACAAGGGUUUAGGGAACUUUCAUUAAGUGGAAAUCUAAGUUUAGUUCUAUUUUAGAAAAAAAUAAUAACUGCGUCGUUACAAUUACAAACCAUAUUCAAUUUUGCACAGCAGGAAGUAAAUCCAGUAUCACCAACUAACUUGACGGAAGCCAAUUCUUUUGUCAGUGACUAUUGAUGAAUUAUAGGACUUAUCCACUAAGCGAACCAUUUUUUAUGUCUCCUCCAUCAAUAAGGACGAAAAUGUAAAUGAAUAUUUUAUAGGAUUUGAAGAAAUUGCUUGCAUGCUGUUCAUUUUAACAGUCAAUUCACUGUGGCCAUGCUGGAGCACCACCUUUAGUCGAACAAAUCAACCCCAGGACACGGACACACACAAAUACGACGGACUUCUUUCAGUUUCUGUCUACCAAAUCCACUCACAAGGCUUUGGCCGUCCCGAGUCUAUAGUAGGAGACACUUGCCCAAGGUACCACACUUGCCCAAGGUGCUACUUGCCCAAGGUGCCACUUGCCCAAGGUGCCACACGUGACUUUUCAACGAUAUACAUAGGUUACAUGUGUCAUAUAGGUCCAACAACCGGAUGGAGGUUCGCUGGAUGGCUCCUGUGAUGUUAUAAUUAUCCCACACCCAAUUAUAAACAAUAAAACGUAGGUACAGCUCAGUGUUGUGAAGUAGCAGUAUCGUGGUAUAACAUGUAUCCCACAUGGUCACAGACUUCUCAAGCUUCUAAAAAAGAUUUCACAUGACCAAUACAUAAUUAUGUCUUUCUCGAGGCCAUUAAUGCCAUUCACAAAGCGAAGCCUCUUAAUACUGGA